RNAcentral lists this ribosomal RNA (912 nucleotides) under Salmonella enterica. Its description in RNAcentral is "partial 23S ribosomal RNA". It matches the Rfam family "Bacterial large subunit ribosomal RNA", at positions 1918 to 2925 of the family's 2925-position model. The record is from RNAcentral. Lineage: Bacteria; Pseudomonadati; Pseudomonadota; Gammaproteobacteria; Enterobacterales; Enterobacteriaceae. RNAcentral also lists the same sequence under 5 other names.
CCCCGGUAAACGGCGGCCGUAACUAUAACGGUCCUAAGGUAGCGAAAUUCCUUGUCGGGUAAGUUCCGACCUGCACGAAUGGCGUAAUGAUGGCCAGGCUGUCUCCACCCGAGACUCAGUGAAAUUGAACUCGCUGUGAAGAUGCAGUGUACCCGCGGCAAGACGGAAAGACCCCGUGAACCUUUACUAUAGCUUGACACUGAACAUUGAGCCUUGAUGUGUAGGAUAGGUGGGAGGCUUUGAAGUGUGGACGCCAGUCUGCAUGGAGCCGACCUUGAAAUACCACCCUUUAAUGUUUGAUGUUCUAACGUGGACCCGUAAUCCGGGUUGCGGACAGUGUCUGGUGGGUAGUUUGACUGGGGCGGUCUCCUCCUAAAGAGUAACGGAGGAGCACGAAGGUUGGCUAAUCCUGGUCGGACAUCAGGAGGUUAGUGCAAUGGCAUAAGCCAGCUUGACUGCGAGCGUGACGGCGCGAGCAGGUGCGAAAGCAGGUCAUAGUGAUCCGGUGGUUCUGAAUGGAAGGGCCAUCGCUCAACGGAUAAAAGGUACUCCGGGGAUAACAGGCUGAUACCGCCCAAGAGUUCAUAUCGACGGCGGUGUUUGGCACCUCGAUGUCGGCUCAUCACAUCCUGGGGCUGAAGUAGGUCCCAAGGGUAUGGCUGUUCGCCAUUUAAAGUGGUACGCGAGCUGGGUUUAGAACGUCGUGAGACAGUUCGGUCCCUAUCUGCCGUGGGCGCUGGAGAACUGAGGGGGGCUGCUCCUAGUACGAGAGGACCGGAGUGGACGCAUCACUGGUGUUCGGGUUGUCAUGCCAAUGGCACUGCCCGGUAGCUAAAUGCGGAAGAGAUAAGUGCUGAAAGCAUCUAAGCACGAAACUUGCCCCGAGAUGAGUUCUCCCUGAGACUUAGAGUC